CCUGUCCGAGACAAAGCUACCUUUCUUUCCUCGUGGGAAUGGACCGGCCGGGCUUUGGCAAUCUGUCCCCUCGAAAGACAAAGUGACCUCUUCCAACAGGGGAAGACUGAAGCAAGGGGUGCCAGGAAGAACUGGAGUCUCUGGAGAAUAAAAGCUGGAAGCGUGCCCCCGAAAGUCCCCAGCCCCGGGUGGUCAGUGGUCUGACUUGCACGGACCGGUGGCCUUGGCCAGGAGCGGUCCUACCGGCCUGUACUUUGAAUUUCCUGCCCAGGCUGUAAUUUUAAUUUCCACUGGGUGCUGGCAAAGCCCCCCUGGGGGUGAGCCCCAGUGCCUGGCAGGAGCGGAGCGGGCUUGCAGGGAGGUGUUCACCCGGUCAGCGUCAGGAACCAUCCUAACUGAGGCCUCGGCUGCCUCUUUCCCUUUGGUCGCCGUGUGUGUGCCGGACACCUCUGGCAGGACUAACCCUGUGGCUUUUAUGUCCAACGUGCUGUAUGCCUGCAGCAUCCUGUCCGAGACAAAGCUACCUUUCUUUCCUCGUGGGAAUGGACCGGCCGGGCUUUGGCAAUCUGGCCCCUUGAAAGACUAAAGUGACCUCUUGCAGCAGGGGAAGACUGAAGCAAGGGGUGCCAGGAAGAACUGGAGUCUCUGGAGAAUAAAAGCUGGAAGCGUGCCCCCGAAA
This is a long non-coding RNA of Pseudopipra pipra, 679 nucleotides long. RefSeq lists it as uncharacterized. The transcript has 3 exons. The record is from RefSeq and is a predicted model, not a curated record. NCBI's taxonomy places the organism in Eukaryota, Metazoa, Chordata, Aves, Passeriformes, Pipridae.